GGGAGUAGCUCAGUAGGUAGAGCGUCGGCUUCCCAAGCCGAAGGUCGCGGGUUCGAAACCCGUUUCCC
RNAcentral lists this transfer RNA (68 nucleotides) under bovine gut metagenome. It matches the Rfam family "tRNA". From Rfam's summary of the family: Transfer RNA (tRNA) molecules are approximately 80 nucleotides in length. Their secondary structure includes four short double-helical elements and three loops (D, anti-codon, and T loops). Further hydrogen bonds mediate the characteristic L-shaped molecular structure. tRNAs have two regions of fundamental functional importance: the anti-codon, which is responsible for specific mRNA codon recognition, and the 3' end, to which the tRNAs corresponding amino acid is attached (by aminoacyl-tRNA synthetases). tRNAs cope with the degeneracy of the genetic code in two manners: having more than one tRNA (with a specific anti-codon) for a particular amino acid; and 'wobble' base-pairing, i.e. permitting non-standard base-pairing at the 3rd anti-codon position. The record is from RNAcentral.